RNAcentral lists this transfer RNA (93 nucleotides) under Laccaria bicolor S238N-H82. It matches the Rfam family "tRNA". Rfam says of the family: Transfer RNA (tRNA) molecules are approximately 80 nucleotides in length. Lineage: Eukaryota; Fungi; Basidiomycota; Agaricomycetes; Agaricales; Hydnangiaceae. The record is from Rfam by way of RNAcentral.
GGGCUCUUGGCACAGGGGUAGCGCGCACGCUUCGCAUUUCGACAUGACGGUAUGAUCUGCGUGAGGUCGUGGGUUCAAUUCCCACAGUGUCCA